RNAcentral lists this ribosomal RNA (333 nucleotides) under uncultured eukaryote. Its description in RNAcentral is "partial 18S ribosomal RNA". It matches the Rfam family "Eukaryotic small subunit ribosomal RNA", at positions 1470 to 1796 of the family's 1831-position model. The record is from RNAcentral.
CCCUUAGAUGUUCUGGGCCGCACACGCGCUACACUGGCAGGUUCAUCGAGCUUCAUGCCCUGAUCUGAGAAGAACGGGAAAUCUUUGAACACCUGCCGUGCUUGGGAUAGAUGUUUGCAAUUAUUCAUCUUCAACGAGGAUUGCCUUGUAAGCGCACGUCAUCAGCGUGCAUUGAAUACGACCCUGUAUUCUGUACACACCGCCCGUCGCUACUACCGAUUGGAUUGUUUAGCGAGAGCCUUGGAUCGCUGCCCGGGUAGUCAGCAAUGGCCGCCCGGGAAUAGUGAAAAAUUGUUCCAGCUUGCCGAUCUAGAGGAAGUAAAAGUCGUAACA